Cotesia glomerata is the source of this 1899-nucleotide long non-coding RNA. RefSeq lists it as uncharacterized. Lineage: Eukaryota; Metazoa; Arthropoda; Insecta; Hymenoptera; Braconidae. The transcript is spliced from 5 exons. The record is from RefSeq and is a predicted model, not a curated record.
GAGGGAGAGAUAUCGUUAGUUUGGUUGACUACUUCUGAGUGACACACAGCAGACGCACAUUAAACUGUAGUGCUCGGAGACGGACAGACAGGCUUGGACAGGCUUUUACUAUUCAUUUGUAUUUUCUUGGGAUUAGAUCUUUAUCGGGUGUGAUCGGUAACGUGUAUUGCUGUGCCGUGUGCCGUGCAGUAAAUGUCGGUUUCAUUAAAUAAAAACUUAUUUUCAUAUAAAAUGAAGUUUGCAUUGGUAAAGUUCCUCGUGACAACAAUAAAAAAUUAUUGUCGAAACCUUUUACAUUCUUAAUUUCAGUAAAUACAAUGUCUUAACUAAAAACAAUGUGUAUAAAUACAACAAUGGCAAGGAACAAUUCAAAUGUGUCAUUUUACGUUUAUCAGAUUCAAGAAAGGAACUGUCGGAUGAAAAUGUUCACGUCCGAAAUCCGAAGAUAAAUAACUCUUCAGCUCUAGAUACGUCUACAGAUGAUGAUGAUGGAGACAAGAAAUCGGGGGCCACUAAGGCCAAACUAGUGAGAAAGAUCAAGAAUCAAAAUGAAUUGAAGGUUAAAAAGCAAAGAACAGAAGAAAUAAUUCAGGCUUUUCAAAAAUCCAAAAGGAAAUUCUGAAGAAAUCACUACUGACACCCAUUCAGGUGACGACUCAUUGUCACAAAAAGAUGAAAUUGAACAAAAUUCGUCUAAUCCUGAAAAUAAUAAAGAAAAUGGAAGAGUGAUCAGAAAGAAACGAAUCAUUAGCGAGACCGACUCUGAAAGUCAUAUGCUCGAUGAUCCACCAGAGCAAUACAUUGAACCAAUUGUUAUUAUCAAUGAAAAUAAUUUUGCUAACCAAGAAGAGAAGGAUGGGAAUAAUAGUAAGAAAGUUGACUCAAAUCCGUUGGUGCCGCGACUAUUAGAAGACAAUCAAAUGAAGGAAGAGGAAAUAGUAAAAUUAAAACGGCAAAAUCAAGAAUUUAGAUUACAAAUAGCUUUUUAUCAAUAGCAACAACAACAACAACAACGAUGUUUCAUGUUGGAGACGAUAUUUAUAUGGCUGUGUUACAGGUCUACUCAUAAAAUGUACUCACAGCCAUCAACGACAUUUGCACUCAGUAACAUUUUUAUUCAAAAUCAUCUUCAUUCAGUCACAACUUUAUUCAUUUAAAUUUUACUCUGAUUCAACUUUAUUCAAUAUUAUUUGCCUUCAGUUACAACUUUACUCAAAUUCAACAGUAGUCAAUUACAACUUUGCUCAGUUUCAAUUGUAUUCAUUUUCAAGUAUAUUCACUGAAUUUUUAACUCAGUUACAUCUCUAUUCACAACGAAUCUAUUCACUUACAUUUGUAAUCAUUUACAACUGUACUCACGAAUUUUUGCAUUAUCAAUUAACCUUAAACUUGUGAGUAGAGAUGAACGUGAGUACAGUUGUAAAUGAUUACAAAUGGAAGUGAAUAGAUUCUUUGUGAGUAGAGAUGUAACUGAGUUAAAAAUUCAGCGAAUAGACUUGAAAAUGAAUACAAUUGAAACUGAGUAAAAGUUGUUAUUGACUACUGUUGAAUUAAAGUAAGGUUGUAACUGAUUAAAGUUUUACCUGAAGGCAAAUAAUAUUGAAUAAAAGUUGAAUGAGAGUAAAAAUUUUAAUGAAUAAAGUUGUGACUGAAUGAAGAUGAUUUUGAAUAAAAAUGUAAUUGAGUGCAGAUGUCGUUGAUGGCUGUGAGUAGAGAUUUUAUGAGUAGACCUGUAACACAGCCACUGGAUUUAGCUGUAACUUACUCAUCUGUUAUGUACCCUAUCGAAAGUAUUUUCUAAAAUUUCCAGAAAUUUAUAUACCUCACAAACCAAAUUUUUAAUUUAGAAAAGAUUUUUUAUUAGUUUUCAAAAGCUGUUAUUUUUUCAAGGUUGAACUG